This is a long non-coding RNA of Micropterus dolomieu (smallmouth bass), 379 nucleotides long. RefSeq lists it as uncharacterized. The transcript has 3 exons. Lineage: Eukaryota; Metazoa; Chordata; Actinopteri; Centrarchiformes; Centrarchidae. The record is from RefSeq and is a predicted model, not a curated record.
CAGAGCAUCACAAGGAGCUAAAUAAAUAAGCUGGAGCCAAAACAUCAGAAGUAGUAAUCUAAGAUUAGGAUACAAUCAUGGUUUCACUUUAAGGCCACAGUUGUCUGCUGUUCGUAAACAUGAGACAAAAAAUGUUUAUACCAAUAUUUACCAGUUUUCUGUGAGUCCUGACUGAACAAUGUUUAAAAUAUUAAAGAGCAUGUCCUCACUGGCCUGUCGGAUCUAAUCCUAUUGUUUGUAUCCGCAGGGCUACCGAGGAGUCUCGGGCAACAGGGGAGAGAACGGAGAAGACGGCCUGGAAGGAAUCGACGGCGAGCAGGGAGAGACGGGACUUGAUGGAGCUCGAGGAGAUAAAGGACACCCAGGAAACCCAGUAAUC